GACGAACGCUGGCGGCGUGCUUAACACAUGCAAGUCGAGCGAUGAAGCACCUUCGGGUGUGAAUUAGCGGCGAACGGGUGAGGAACACGUGAGAAAUCUGCCUUCAACUCUGGGAUAACUCCGUGAAAACGGGGCUAAUACCGGAUAUGAAACCUGCGGGCAUCCGCGGGUUUGGAAAGUUUUACGGUUGAAGAUGAUCUCGCGGCCUAUCAGCUUUGUGGUGAGGUAAUGGCUCACCAAGGUGACGACGGGUAGCCGGCCUGAGAGGGCGACCGGCCACACUGGGACUGAGACACGGCCCAGACUCCUACGGGAGGCAGCAGUGGGGAAUAUUGGGCAAUGGAGGAAACUCUGACCCAGCGACGCCGCGUGCGGGAUGAAGGCCUUCGGGUUGUAAACCGCUUUCAGCAGGGAAGAAGCGAAAGUGACGGUACCUGCAGAAGAAGCACCGGCUAACUAUGUGCCAGCAGCCGCAGUAA
RNAcentral lists this ribosomal RNA (479 nucleotides) under uncultured bacterium. Its description in RNAcentral is "partial 16S ribosomal RNA". It matches the Rfam family "Bacterial small subunit ribosomal RNA", at positions 28 to 523 of the family's 1533-position model. The record is from RNAcentral.